CCUACGGGAGGCAGCAGUGGGGAAUAUUGGACAAUGGGCGAAAGCCUGAUCCAGCAAUUCCGCGUGUGUGAAGAAGGCCUUCGGGUUGUAAAGCACUUUAGUGGGGGAAGAAACAGCUUGGCCACACCAAGCCUUGACGGUACCCCAAGAAUAAGCACCGGCUAACUCUGUGCCAGCAGCCGCGGUAAUACAGAGGGUGCAAGCGUUAAUCGGAUUUACUGGGCGUAAAGGGUGCGUAGGUGGCUAUUUAAGUCGGAUGUGAAAGCCCGGGGCUCAACCUCGGAAUUGCAUUCGAUACUGAGUGGCUAGAGUUCGGUAGAGGGCGGCGGAAUUUCCGGUGUAGCGGUGAAAUGCGUAGAUAUCGGAAGGAACAUCAAUGGCGAAGGCAGCCGCCUGGGCCUGGACUGACACUGAGGCACGAAAGCGUGGGUAGCAAACAGGAUUAGAUACCCUGGUAGUCCACGCCGUAAACGAUGAGAACUUGACGUUGGUUCGUUUUACGAAUCGGUGUCGCNGCUACGACGAUAAGUUACUCCGUCCGUCGGGGUAGGGUACGGGCCGGCCGACGGUUAGGUAAACGUUAAAACGUUAAGUAAGUUAGUACGGCGUGUAGACGUCGCCGAACGGACGACCGACCGAGGGGAGGUAGG
Molecule: ribosomal RNA, 650 nt
Filed under: uncultured bacterium
Lineage: Bacteria
Description: bacterial SSU rRNA
Rfam family: Bacterial small subunit ribosomal RNA (bases 1-539)
Source: RNAcentral